Long non-coding RNA from Bos taurus (domestic cattle), 1403 nucleotides. NCBI's taxonomy places the organism in Eukaryota, Metazoa, Chordata, Mammalia, Artiodactyla, Bovidae. The record is from Ensembl.
GGGCCAUCCAUGUGGGAAGAGCUCGGGUCCAUAAUGAUCAAUUACUCUCAGGACAGGCUGGCAACCCACGCUGUCAAUUUUGGGUCAACCUGGCUCUGCGAUUGCUCUGGAUGGGAACCGCCUCUCAGGCUAUCCAUCUAUAAAUUGAGGAUGCAGCUACUGCAACAAUCCACAGUUCAUACCGUCAAAAGGGAAUACUCAUUAAGUCACAGACUGGGGCAUUUCAUCCAGCUGUCCAAGGGCUGAGGUCUAGUCCCAGGUCUGGACAAGAGAACUAGAGUCCAGGACAACAGGUUCGAAUCCUGGCUCUCAUAUAUUCUACCUGCGUGACCUUGAACAAAGUCACUUUAGCUUUGAGGGCUGAGUUUCUUCAUUGAUAAAAUUUGGGAUGGGAAUUAGCUCCUGUUUCGGGCUCAUUCAGCUUUUCAAAAGCUAGAUUCUGGGAGUCUCCUCAGAGCUGUAAAUGCCUGAUCAAAAAACAGCCAAACAUCGCAGAUAAGGAAACUAGGGGCUCCAGGCCCGUCCUUAGGUCCUGUUCCUCAAGCCGGCGGAAAGACCUCCGCCUCCCCUCCUACCACUGCCAAGCAGACCCCGGGGCCGCGUGUCGCAGGCCAGCAGGACUGGGCGCCCAUCAGGUGCCAGCCAGGAGAGAGACCACAGUGCCGCGUCCGCACGCCUUUGAGACCCACGUGCGCUGCUUCUUUAAAUGUCCCGGCCCUUUAACAGAUCGCACCGCGCCCACUCCGGCGGGGGCUCCGGCGGCGGGGGCUCUGGCGGCGGGGAGAACCCGGCCCCGCUGAAGGCCCGAGGCCUGGAGCCCCUCCCGCGCUCCUCCACUCGCCAGUUCCGGGCCGGCCCCCAACGCAGCGGUCCCGGCGCCCUCCCCUCCCCAGCCGCUGGGGCCGCAUCCCCGGAACCGCCCCGAGGCGCGACCCGCCGCGGCGAGGGGCGUGCGGAGGACAAGGCCCCGCCUGCGGAGUGCAGCUCCACCUCGCGCCCUUCGAACGCCGGGCGAUCGGGCCCCCAUCCGCGCGCCCCAUCCAGCCGGCUCACCUGCUCCGCCGCGCAGCUCCAGCGGUGUUUACUGGCCGAGCGCCCGGCAGACCCGGUGCCGGCGCAGGCCCCGCCCCCGGCCCGCCCCGGCCCCGCCCCGCCGGCGACGCCACGCUCCCGGGUCCAUGUCCGGCCUCACUGGAGCCCGGGCACCGCGUAGGCGAGGGGCCGGGCUUCCCUUCGAGAGCCGCGGGGACCCGGGAAUGAAUCUGCCAUUGGACUGAGCACUGACCUGAGAGGCAGUGGAGGCCGCACCUGUAAUAUUCCAGAGUCCUAAAAAAGCUGAUUCUGCCAGUUUUUAUAAGCCUAAUGGUUGCUUCAGAGAAGGCAAUGGCACCCCACUCCAGUAC